This 406-nucleotide ribosomal RNA is filed under the name uncultured bacterium. RNAcentral describes it as "partial 16S ribosomal RNA". It matches the Rfam family "Bacterial small subunit ribosomal RNA", at positions 30 to 526 of the family's 1533-position model. The record is from RNAcentral.
AUUGAACGCUGGCGGCAGGCCUAACACAUGCAAGUCGAACGAGCGGCGGACGGGUGAGUAAUGUAUGGGACUCUGCCCGAUAGAGGGGGAUAACUACUGGAAACGGUAGCUAAUACCGCAUACUAUAGGAUGAGCCCAUGUGGGAUUAGCUAGUUGGUGGGGUAAAGGCGCACCUAGGCGACGAUCUCUAGCUGGUCUGAGAGGAUGACCAGCCACACUGGGACUGAGACACGGCCCAGACUCCUACGGGAGGCAGCAGUGGGGAAUAUUGCACAAUGGGGGCAACCCUGAUGCAGCCAUGCCGCGUGUAUGAAGAAGGCCUUCGGUUUGUAAAGUACUUUCGGCGGGGAGGCGUUACCCGCAGAAGAAGCACCGGCUAACUCCGUGCCAGCAGCCGCGGUAAUAC